UCAAGUGGUCUGCCUGCUCAUUAUCCUGGAAUGUUUCCUCUUUGGAACUCAGAACAGGAGGAAGGCUGGGGCUGAAGGCCAUGAGGUCCGUCUUGGGCAAGCCCUCCCCAGAGCACACCCUCUGCCCGCUCUGCUGCGAGUAUGACCAGCUCCCCACUGCACUCGAGCACACCAGCCUGGGCUUCGCAGGCCCGCAAGUGCCCUCAGUGCGCACCGCCGAGCAGCGCAGCGCCGUGUACAGCAGCAGCGUGAGCACCAACAGGCUGGACACCGCACAGAUGGCGAUGAUCAAGUAUACAUUGACGUCCACUAGCGUCACUUCCGGGCUUGUGUCUCCAGUCAGUGCCCGCAACGAGGACUUUGGAGUCUGACCAUUCUCCACCAGCGACACCAGAAAGGUGGCGGUGGUGGUCAGCACAGGCUCGCCAUGAUCCUUCACCAACACCAACAGGCGCUGGCGCGGUGCAUCCAUCUCAUCCAGGGCGCGCGUCGUGCUGAUCUCGCCUGUGUAAAGCCCCACGCGGAACGGGCUGCGCUCGCCACCCGCAGAAACCUGCAGCUCAUAAGACAGCCACGCGUUGUAGCCAGAGUCAGCGUCCACGGCGCGCACCUUCGCCACCACGUGGCCGGCACCCACUGACCGCGACACCAGCUCGCUCACCGCACCACCGGUCUGGGGCCCCAGCAGCGCGGGCGCAUUGUCGUUCUCAUCCAGCACGAACACCUGCAGAGUCACGUUGCUGCCCAGGGCAGGCACCCCAGAGUCGCGCGCACUCACCUGGAACUGCAGCAGCUCCAGCUCCUCGUGGUCCAGCGGCUGCAGCGCGAACACCUUGCCGCUCUCCGCGUGCACAGACACGUAGCUCGACAGCGCGCGCUCGCCCACCCGCCGCUCCACCAGCGAGUAGGACACCAGCGCGUUCUCCUGCGCGUCCGCGUCGCGCGCGCACACCGUGAAGAUGUAGGCGCCCGGCGGGUUGUUCUCCUUCACGAACACCGUGUACUCGGGCUGCGCGAACAGGGGCGCGUUGUCGUUCACGUCGGCCACCUCCACGGACACGGUGGCCGAGGCCCACAGCGAAGGUGAACCCCCAUCUCUCGCGAUCACUACCAACUCGUAUGCUGAUAUGCUCUCGCGGUCCAAGGUGCUGUCCAGAACCAGCGAAUAAUAAUUCUUAAAGGUGGACACCAGCUUGAAGGGGACGCGGGGCGUCAGGGUGCAGGUCACCUUUCCGUUGACACCAGAGUCACGGUCGGACACGCUAAGCAGGGCGAUGACGGCGUUAGGUUGAGUGUCCUCUUUUACAGGCAGUGACAGAGAAGUAAUAGUUAUCUCCGGGGCAUUAUCAUUUAUGUCUACCACUUCCACCAAAAGGGUACAAUGACCCGUCAUUGGAAUAUUACCUUUGUCAACUGCCUCCACGGAUAUUUCAUAAAAUUUAUUUUCUUCGAAAUCCAGUUUAUCUUUUGUCCUAAUUUCUCCACUCUUGGGAUCUAUGUUAAAGGCAUAUAACACUGCAGGAGAUAGGGGCCUUCUAAAGGAGUAGACUAUAUCUCCAUUUGUACCAUCAUCAGGGUCUGUAGCAUUUAGUUUGAUCACCAAUGUUCCAUUAAGUGCGUUCUCUAAUACUUUAACUUUAUAAAGGAAUUGAUCAAAUUCUGGGGCAUUGUCAUUUACAUCCAGAAUCCUGAUCAGCAGCUGAACAGUACCGGUUAGCUCGGGUUUACCUCCAUCACUGGCUGUCAGUAAUAAACUAUGUUCCUGAAUUUGCUCUCUGUCUAAAGUUUUCCUUAAGACAAGUGACAAUAAAGACAUUUGUUCACGAUUCCUUUGUGUGUCCAAAGUGAAAUAAUCGUUGUGAUCCAGUCGGUAGGUCAAUGCCGAAUUUACACCAAUAUCUGCAUCUGAUGCGCCAUCUAGUGGAAAUCUAGAGUCUACAGGUCUAGAUUCUGCAAUAAUUAUACUUUUGUUAGUUUCGGGAAACACAGGCGGAUUGUCGUUAAUGUCCUUCACCUCCACCUCCACGUGGAAAACCUGCAGCGGUCUGUCCACGAUCACCUCCAGGUGGAUGCUGCACUCCGCGCUCCGCCCGCACAGCUCCUCCCGGUCGAUCCGAGAAUUCACAAACAAAAUGCCAUUCUGCAGAUUUACCUCCAGAAGCUCCCCGCGCUCCUUGGACGCCACCCGGAACAGGCGCGGCACCAGCUCCGUCAGCUCCAGCCCCAGGUCCUGCGCGAUGCGGCCCACGAAGGUGCCGUGUUUGGCCUCCUCGGGGACCGAGUAGUGCAGCUGGCCGCUCCCCGCCUGCCAGGCUGCGAGGAGCAGCAGCGAGAGCAGCAGAGGCCAGGUGCCUGGGCCUCCUUUCCAGUGCGGAAGAAUUCGAAACGGAGUUUUUACGAUCUGGCAAAUUUCAUAGAGGAAGGAAGGAUCAGUGGCUUUCUUGGCAAAAACGUUCUCAGUGAAGAGCGACACCAUGCGCAUAAAUGUUUACACAUUAUUUAGACUCCUGAUGAUUUAAAGCCUAUUGAAAUUGGUUGAACAGUGGUCCUUCAAAAGAUACACCCACAUUUAAGACUCAGAAUUUCUCAAUAUUAUUUUACAAAUGUUAUGAAAAAACAAUAUCUUGAAAUCAGUUUAUCCUGGAAUAUUCAGCAAGCUAGAAGUGCAAUCACAUGUGCCCAUGAAAAAUAAACGCACAGAGAAGACAUGGGGAAGAUAAGGUGAUGUCAUGACCAUAUAUUGGAGAGGUAUAAUCACAAGCCAGGAAACACUAAUAACCACCAGAAACUGAAAGAAGCACAGAACAGAUUCUACACUGGAGCCUGGAGAAGGAGAAGAGCCAUAGUAACAUCUUGAUUUUGAAUUUCUGUCCCCCAAAACCAGGAAAGAAUAAAUUUUUUUUGUCUUAUAUAACCCUUUAAGUGUCACUUGUUCUAGCAGGCCAAGAAACUAACACAAUCACUCACCUACAUGUUUUAAAACAUCUUAUUUCUCAUUUUUAAAUGUUUCUUGGUGAAUGUAUCAUUUCAUGGAUUUAAAUUUUUUAUGUAAUGAAAUUACUCCAAAAUUUAUACUAUAAUUUCCUGAGUUGCAGGCCAAAUUUCUGGUCACAAUGGUAUUCUUCUAGAACCUUAAAAGAAACAUUUUCUCAAAUAUUUAAUUUCCAACCUGAACAAACAUGCAUGAAUUGUUUCUUCAGUUCUGCUCCACAUUUUGCAUAAGGCCAUCUUGUUCUUCCAGUUGACCAAACCAAAGGAAUGAGUGUCAACCAAGAACUUUCUUUUGUUUGCAUUGAGUCAGUCACCGUCUGGCUGCUUCCUUCUUGUUAAUACCUCUUGUAUGUGAAUAUUGCAAUCCAUUUCUACUGCCAUAAUGUAAGUCUCUAUCAGCUGAUACUUAAAUUGUUGUAAAAGACCCUUUCCCUAGCUUUCUUGCCUUAGAAUCUCCUCUGCUUUAAUCCUUAUAGUACACAGUCACCAGAGAAAACUUGGCUUGUUUAUUCAUACUCAUCUCUUCGUCUGUAAUAUUUUUUAAUUGAAUGUUAUCUAUACUCACUCUUGACUAAAACAUUGCCUAACCUCUUGACUUUACUCCACUUCUAAAAUGGAACUUUUAUGGUCUGUGUCUGGAUGGCCCUUCAAAGCCUCAUGCAGUCAUGGGGCAGGGUCCUAGUGUUUGUGACUGAUUCAUAAUCCAAUGCUGGGGUUAUGGGUGUGAAUGAUACACCCACACUAGGGUGGGUAACCUACAUACAAUAUAAGGGACAGAAAGAGUCUUUGGUCAAGCUCCUCCUUUUAGCUCUUGUUGCUUUUGCUAUUUUUCACCGCCAUGAACUGUUGCUCCUCUGCCACAUGCCAUGCUCCCUUAGAGCCAGUCAUGAAACCUCCACAAACUGUGAGAUAAAUAAACCUUUCCUUCCUUAAUUUUUGGCAUUGGGUAUUUUGUCUCAGCAUCAAGAGAAAAGUAACCAACACAGAACUGUUCUGGUAUUCGUUUCAUUAGCAUAUACAUAUUGAAAAUUUUUCAGAUCCACAACUAAAAGGUAGGAAAAUAGAAAAAAGGUUAAAAAUGUAAUGUCUUCUAUACCAAGCAGAGGGAUGUAAGAUUCUAUUUUCUGAUCAAAGAGAAGUCUCUAAAUAUUUUUAAAAUGAAAGUCAUGAGAUUUUACAUAUUUUACAAAACUGAUCUGAUAAAAGGUACAGAGCAAUAAUGUACCAUAACUGUUUGAGAUUCUCUGAAA
Molecule: long non-coding RNA, 4241 nt
Organism: Cavia porcellus (domestic guinea pig)
Lineage: Eukaryota; Metazoa; Chordata; Mammalia; Rodentia; Caviidae
Exons: 3
Source: RefSeq, a predicted model, not a curated record